AAGUCGUAACAAGGUUUCCGUAGGUGAACCUGCGGAAGGAUCAUUACCUUUCUGGCCAUUUAAUAGCUUGUCUGGGGCUGGCAGUUUCUUGCAGUCUCUGACUACAUCCGUGUUUUUGCGUACUAUUAUGUUUCCUCGGCGGGCUUGCUUUCGGCCGGGUUGGACGAAAUGCAUAAAACUCUUUGCAAUUGCAAUCAGCGUCUGAAUUAUAUAAUAAUUACAA
Molecule: unclassified non-coding RNA, 223 nt
Filed under: plant metagenome
Description: partial contains small subunit ribosomal RNA and internal transcribed spacer 1
Rfam family: Eukaryotic small subunit ribosomal RNA (bases 1-46)
Source: RNAcentral